Molecule: ribosomal RNA, 253 nt
Filed under: uncultured bacterium
Lineage: Bacteria
Description: partial 16S ribosomal RNA
Rfam family: Bacterial small subunit ribosomal RNA
Source: RNAcentral
UACGUAGGGUGCGAGCGUUGUCCGGAAUUAUUGGGCGUAAAGAGCUCGUAGGCGGUUUGUCGCGUCUGCCGUGAAAGUCCGGGGCUCAACUCCGGAUCUGCGGUGGGUACGGGCAGACUAGAGUGAUGUAGGGGAGACUGGAAUUCCUGGUGUAGCGGUGAAAUGCGCAGAUAUCAGGAGGAACACCAGUGGCGAAGGCGGCUCACUGGUCCGGUACUGACGCUGAGGUGCGAAAGCGUGGGGAGCAAACAGG